AUCGAGAGACUGUGCCUCCACCGCCAUCGCCGUCUCUUCGACGACGCCGGGCGAUCGGCCCCUACACCAAAGCCAUCCAGCAUUGGAAGACGUCAUCGAGGGCCACUCCUGCGGACACAGUCAUUACAUUCGUAAAGCUUGCGAGGCCAACAUUGGAGGCUGCUCGAUCGGUUCACUUGCAAACAAUGCCAUCUUAUCUGAGAAGAUCCAGGAACAUUCUUGUCCCAUCAAUUCAAGUCAACACUAGCUAAAAUUUUCCCACCAAUUUGAACAGCUACGCAAAUCUCUUAACUUCUUCUUCUUUCCAUCAACAGUGUAUUUAUUUAUGGUUUUGUUUCAUGCAAAUUGGCACCCAGCUCCAAUUCUCAUUUCACAGAACAUUUAGGAAAUAAUUCCUAAAUGUUGGUUAAGAUACAUGAUGAAAUCUUUGUGUGCCAAAUACACCGUACUAUUGCUUUUUUUUUUUUUUGUUGCAAAAACAGAGCCUGAUGUAGAGUAUGGUUUUUUUAUGUGGUAUGGCAAUGAUUUUGUAUUGUGCAAUUACUGGAGAAUGAAUUCUCUCUCUUCAUGUCUAUCUAUCUAUCUAUCUAUCUAUCUAUCUAUCUAUCAGUAGGUUUAUAUAUUAUUGUUAAACACACAUUCUGUCACGGAACAAGAGAUCCUUCGAUCAUAAAACAAAAGCACUGCUGAUAGCAAUAUUAUUUCGUUGCAUUGGCUACACACAACUCUCGAUUACCUUUAACAGAAGAUUACAAUGAUUUCAUAGUUUGCCACAAUCGAAGUCAGCCAUACUCAUAUACUUCUUUGUCAAUGCACCAGCCAAAACUUGGUCUCUCAGGAGACGGGCGGCCCAGCUGCCGCCUUGUUGGACGAUCCCUACCACAUAACCAGUGGCGACAAGCUCAAAGCCCCUCCAUCUCCUGGCGUCGGCAUACUUCUUCAGUGCUGCCUCGACCCUGCUGCCUUCGUCUUCUUCUCCGCCUCCCUCCCGUCCGCCGAUGAGAGCUUCGCCUAAGCACUUGGCCAGAACAACUCCGUCUUCCAGCGCCGAGCAGCCGCCUUGGCCGAGGUCGGGAGUCAUGGGAUGGAACGCGUCCCCGGUCACGCAGACGUUCCCUCUGCUGAUGUCACCCCACAGCAGGUUGAACGGGGAUCUGUAUCUCAAGUGAGCGGACGCUAGGCUGCUCAGCUCGCUCCUCCCUAUUACCUGUAAGACCUCUUGAGGAACCUUUUCGCUCUUCAGCUUGCUCAGUACAAAUUCCUUCACCUUAAUAACAUCUUUGUUCCA
Molecule: long non-coding RNA, 1288 nt
Organism: Musa acuminata AAA Group (dessert banana)
Lineage: Eukaryota; Viridiplantae; Streptophyta; Magnoliopsida; Zingiberales; Musaceae
Exons: 2
Source: RefSeq, a predicted model, not a curated record